Molecule: ribosomal RNA, 437 nt
Filed under: uncultured Oscillospiraceae bacterium
Lineage: Bacteria; Bacillati; Bacillota; Clostridia; Eubacteriales; Oscillospiraceae
Description: bacterial SSU rRNA
Rfam family: Bacterial small subunit ribosomal RNA
Source: RNAcentral
ACGGGAGGCAGCAGUGGGGAAUAUUGCACAAUGGGCGGAAGCCUGAUGCAGCGAUGCCGCGUGAGGGAAGAAGGCCUUCGGGUUGUAAACUUCUUUUAUCAGGGACGAAGAACGUGACGGUACCUGAUGAAUAAGCCACGGCUAACUACGUGCCAGCAGCCGCGGUAAUACGUAGGUGGCAAGCGUUAUCCGGAUUUACUGGGUGUAAAGGGCGCGUAGGCGGGGAUGCAAGUCAGGUGUGAAAUCUAUGGGCUUAACCCAUAAACUGCAUUUGAAACUGUAUCUCUUGAGUGUCGGAGAGGUAGAUGGAAUUCCUAGUGUAGCGGUGAAAUGCGUAGAUAUUAGGAGGAACACCAGUGGCGAAGGCGAUCUACUGGACGAUAACUGACGCUGAGGCGCGAAAGCGUGGGGAGCAAACAGGAUUAGAUACCCUGGUA